GGCGAAGCCGGGGGGGGAGUGUGCAGAUGUAGGGAGGAUGCUGGGGUUUUCCGGUUUGAUUGGUUUUAAGUGGUGCGUAGGUGAAUUGAUAGGUGAGGGGUGAAAUAUCUCGGCUCAACCGAGAAAUGGCAUUUGAUACUGGUAGUCUAGAGUAUAGUUGAAGUUGGCGGAAUGUGUCAUGUAGCGGUGAAAUGCUUAGAUAUGACACAGAACACCGAUCGCGAAGGCAGCUAGCUAAGCUAUAACUGACGCUCAUGCACGAAAGCGUGGGGAUCAAACAGGAUUAGAUACCCUUGUAUC
This 300-nucleotide ribosomal RNA is filed under the name uncultured Desulfitobacterium sp. RNAcentral's name for it is "bacterial SSU rRNA". The stretch from base 53 to 300 matches the Rfam family "Bacterial small subunit ribosomal RNA", at positions 547 to 795 of the family's 1533-position model. Lineage: Bacteria; Bacillati; Bacillota; Clostridia; Eubacteriales; Desulfitobacteriaceae. The record is from RNAcentral.